Molecule: non-coding RNA, 78 nt
Filed under: Thalassovita sp.
Lineage: Bacteria; Pseudomonadati; Pseudomonadota; Alphaproteobacteria; Rhodobacterales; Roseobacteraceae
Description: Thalassobius sp. Glycine sequence
Rfam family: Glycine riboswitch aptamer
About the family: This family represents the bacterial glycine riboswitch.
Source: RNAcentral
CCGCUGAACUCUGGAGAGUGGUGCUUGAGCACCCGCCGAAGGGAUAACGAUCUCAGGCGAAAGGACAGAGGGGGCAUC